RNAcentral lists this ribosomal RNA (465 nucleotides) under uncultured bacterium. RNAcentral's name for it is "partial 16S ribosomal RNA". It matches the Rfam family "Bacterial small subunit ribosomal RNA", at positions 28 to 507 of the family's 1533-position model. The record is from RNAcentral.
GACGAACGCUGGCGGCGUGCUUAACACAUGCAAGUCGUACGGUAAGGCCCUUUCGGGGGUCCACGAGUGGCGAACGGGUGCGUAACACGUGAGUAACCUGCCCACAACUUUUGGAUAACGCUAGGAAACUGGUGCUAAUACUGGAUAUGUGCUCCUGCUCCAUGGUGGGGGUUGGAAAGCUCCGGCGGUUGGGGAUGGACUCGCGGCCUAUCAGCUUGUUGGUGGGGUAGUGGCCUACCAAGGCGGCGACGGGUAGCCGGCCUGAGAGGGUGACCGGCGACAUUGGGACUGAGAUACGGCCCAGACUCCGACGGGAGGCAGCAGUGGGGAAUAUUGAACAAUGGGCGCAAGCCUGAUGAAGCAACGCCGCGUGCGGGAUGACGGUCUUCGGGUUGUAAACCGCUUUCAGCAGGGACGAAGCUUUUUGUGACGGUACCUGAAGAAGAAGCACCGGCUAACUACGUG